This 270-nucleotide ribosomal RNA is filed under the name uncultured bacterium. RNAcentral's name for it is "partial 16S ribosomal RNA". It matches the Rfam family "Bacterial small subunit ribosomal RNA", at positions 84 to 354 of the family's 1533-position model. The record is from RNAcentral.
UUAUAUACCCAGUGGCGGACGGGUGAGUAACGCGUGGGCAACCUGCCCCGUGCCGGGGGAUACCGCCUGGAAACAGGCGCUAAUACCGCAUAAGCGCAUACAGCCGCAUGGGUGUAUGCGGAAAGCUCCGGCGGCACGGGAUGGGCCCGCGCCCGAUUAGCCAGUUGGCGGGGUAACGGCCCACCAAAGCGACGAUCGGUAGCCGGCCUGAGAGGGCGGACGGCCACAUUGGGACUGAGACACGGCCCAAACUCCUACGGAAGGCAGCAG